CCGGGUUUACAACUCCCAAACCCCUGUGAACAUACCUUUAUGUUGCCUCGGCGGAUCAGCCCGCGCCCCGUAAAACGGGACGGCCCGCCGCAGGAAACCCUAAACUCUGUUUUUAGUGGAACUUCUGAGUAUAAAAACAAAUAAAUCA
RNAcentral lists this unclassified non-coding RNA (148 nucleotides) under soil metagenome. RNAcentral's name for it is "partial internal transcribed spacer 1". The record is from RNAcentral.